RNAcentral lists this ribosomal RNA (252 nucleotides) under uncultured Bacteroidales bacterium. RNAcentral's name for it is "partial 16S ribosomal RNA". It matches the Rfam family "Bacterial small subunit ribosomal RNA", at positions 524 to 776 of the family's 1533-position model. Lineage: Bacteria; Pseudomonadati; Bacteroidota; Bacteroidia; Bacteroidales. The record is from RNAcentral.
UACGGAAGAUGCGAGCGUUAUCCGGAUUUAUUGGGUUUAAAGGGUGCGCAGGCGGCCUGUUAAGUCAGCGGUCAAAUUGCGGGGCUCAACCCCGUACUGCCGUUGAAACUGCAUCCCUUGAGUGCGCGAGAAGUAUGCGGAAUGCGUGGUGUAGCGGUGAAAUGCAUAGAUAUCGCGCAGAACUCCGAUUGCGAAGGCAGCAUGCCGGCUCCACACUGACGCUGAGGCACGAAAGCGUGGGUAUCGAACAGG